GAACGUUCCCUCCUGUCCUGUCUUCUGCCCCUUCCUCCUCUCAAAGCUGAGUGGGAAGGGGCUUCACACAAAGAUCAGGAAAGCUUGACGUAUGGCUAGUGAACUUUAGGAGGGAGAGGUACUGGGAUGUGGCUCAACCAGAGAAAAUCCCAGGCCCAUAGCUACAUGAAGACUGGUCUCUGUCCUCAAGUUGCUUACAGUUUGCAGGUGCUACACCAAUGGGUAUCAUUUGUAUCUCACAUAGGGAACGUUUCACCCUGCAGGACAACGAGCCAGAGCCUUGCAUACCAGGGGCAGGCAUUAGACCACACCCGCUUUGACUGUUAGACUCAUCUGCAGUGCUUGUGCCACUAGUGAGAUGCGCCUAAUGGGGGAGUUCAUCCCCCACCUCACCCUGGUGUAAGUAGUUUACUGGAUGGGAAUUUGGGCUCCUAGAAGUCUUCAUCUUACUAUUUAUGUACCACCUCUGAAUUGAACAGGUGUUAUAAAAGGGUAAACUGAUGCUAAAAGCUACCUCAAGAAGAUGCCUGGAGCAGGGUUCAAGAUCAAUCUAGCUUUUAGUCUCAGCCAUAAACCAUCUGAGCUUUGGGUAAGUCACUUGACCACCAGGCCGGUUUCCUCAUUAUGACAGAAUGGAAUUCUGAAUUCCCUUUCUGUUGUAAUAGUCUGAUUGCACAAUUUUCCAUUAGAGAAGUUUCAUACCUGUUAGAUCUCCUGCUGCCAGGAACUAACCUCCUGGGAGACAGGUCUUAUCGUCAUCCAGGCAUAUAGGAGGGUGUUGGGAAAACACUUGUAGUGGAUGCUGGAUUGUGCCAUUCAGAGCCAGCUCCCUUUGCUAUUGAAGAACUUAUUUCCCUACAUGUCAGGACUUCUGCUGGCUGAUGGCCCCCAGCUGUGAGCUCUUUCAGGCAUCACCUUUGGCUGCAAAAGGCUCCCUCUCCUGAAGUUACUACCUGCAUCCCUGGAGGCAGACUUCAUCUCAUGUCUUCAUCCAAAGUUUGAACAAAUUGGCUAAGAAGGUGCUAGACAUGUAAAGGGACUAUUUUUUUUCUUAAUUCAAAUGUAGGAGGAGUAUGGAUCUCCAGGAACCAGAAGAGCUGCAUACAUAUGCCCAACAAUUCAGCGACAGCACCAUCAGCCCAGAUGGGGGUUGUGAGCAAAGUCCGAGAUGGUCAGAAGGAAACGAGAACCUGGGAGGUGGCGAGUGUCCACUGCUCUAGUCUCAGGACAGCCUGCUCUGUUAAAGCACCUGGUCCUUCUUCCUGAAGACUUCAGUCCCACCUUGCAUUAUGUUUUGUUCUGUGUAUGUGCGUGUCUAUCUCUCCUGCUAACUGCUGAGCUUGCUAAGGAAAGGAACCUUGUUUUAUGAAAUAAAUGAUAUUUAUGAGCUCCUGUGCUAUGGUCUGAA
RNAcentral lists this long non-coding RNA (1408 nucleotides) under Homo sapiens (human). Its description in RNAcentral is "HSALNT0300997". The record is from RNAcentral. Lineage: Eukaryota; Metazoa; Chordata; Mammalia; Primates; Hominidae.